RNAcentral lists this long non-coding RNA (230 nucleotides) under Lathyrus oleraceus (garden pea). RNAcentral describes it as "Pisum sativum (pea) long non-coding RNA (PSAT_LNC036077)". Lineage: Eukaryota; Viridiplantae; Streptophyta; Magnoliopsida; Fabales; Fabaceae. The record is from RNAcentral.
AUAGAAAUAAGUUUUUAAAUAAAAAAAUAAAAUAAAAUGAAGAUUGAAAGAAAAUAAACAUAGUGUUACAUCUAUCUGAUGAACAAUUUUUAAACAAUAGCAAAAAAUAAUUAUUAUAGAAAUAAGUUUUUAAAUAAAAAAAUAAAAUAAAAUGAAGAUUGAAAGAAAAUAAACAUAGUGUUACAUCUAUCUGAUGAUUUAUAUGAACUUAAACAUCAAGUCGGUGGGAA